UACGAAGGGGGCUAGCGUUGCUCGGAAUUACUGGGCGUAAAGGGCUCGUAGGCGGCCAACUAAGUCGGACGUGAAAUCCCCAGGCUCAACCUGGGAACUGCGUCCGAUACUGGAUGGCUUGAAUUCGGGAGAGGGAUGCAGAAUUCCAGGUGUAGCGGUGAAAUGCGUAGAUAUCUGGAGGAAUACCGGUGGCGAAGGCGGCAUCCUGGACCGACAUUGACGCUGAUGAGCGAAAGCCAGGGGAGCAAACGGG
This 253-nucleotide ribosomal RNA is filed under the name uncultured bacterium. RNAcentral's name for it is "partial 16S ribosomal RNA". It matches the Rfam family "Bacterial small subunit ribosomal RNA", at positions 524 to 776 of the family's 1533-position model. The record is from RNAcentral.